Molecule: long non-coding RNA, 11676 nt
Organism: Anolis carolinensis (green anole)
Lineage: Eukaryota; Metazoa; Chordata; Lepidosauria; Squamata; Anolidae
Exons: 6
Source: RefSeq, a predicted model, not a curated record
CUUACUUUGCUUUAUCUUUUGGGUUUUCCUGUCACUCUUAGCUUUUUGUAGCUCUGUGUCCACCCUGGUUACUUGAUUUGAUCUCCUGUAGUGCCUAUCCCCUUCCAGUUGGUUUUCUAGAUCCUGGCUUUCAAGCUCUAUGGAUCAAUUUGUUAUGAAGACGGAGCUCAGUAGACUAAACAAAGCCUGCUCAAGGACGCGGUAAUGGCUGCUCAUUUUUCUUUUGUUUUUCCCUGUGAGAGGUUCUCGGCUUGCAGCAACAGAAAACUGAGGAUAAAGGGAGAAAGCAAGAAGCAUAAAGAGAAACAGACAUUUUAAAAGCAUCUGAAAAGCGAGACAGCAGAGGAUUAAGAGCCUGGCUGGAAGUACACAUGUGUCAUGUAAUGGGCUCCAUCCUGAAAGGGGAGAAGAAGUGGCGUAUGAUGGGCCAAGUAUCCAGUCUGCUGAGAUUGCUCUAAAAGAAAAGGAAUGGUGGCACUUCCUCCAAUCGUGAAUGCUAUAAUUGGGAACCACAGUUAUCUACAGCCUGUCUGCAUUGAUCACUGUCAUUUGUUGAAAAUCUAUUAUCAAGGAAUAAAGUUUCUGAGAUUGCAAUCCUAUGGAUCCAAACUCCACUAAAUUCAAUGGGACUUGCAUCAAGGUGGAUAACGAACAUCUGCUCUGAAAGCACCCUGAUAUGAGAAAAACAGGUUCUGGCUGGAAUAUCACUUGGUAUCUCACCUGUGCAAUGUCUGCUUUUUAUGCCUAUUGUUAACAUCCUUGCUAAAAAUAAGAUGUACUGUGAGGUAAGUGGGUAAAAGAGGAAAGGUGCUGUGAAUAGGAUAUAUGUUGGGGCUGGUAUAUUAUAUUUGCUUCCAUUUUUUGUCUGUACUUCUAAAAUAACUUUCCUUCCCUCUUCCUUUUUCUCAUCUAGCAGAAACAAAUGUGGUGAGAUAGAAGUGCUUAAAAGGGGAAAUCAGUAUCUAAAUAUCAUAUAUGCAAAGGCAGUUACCUUUUAAAUUACCUUAAAUGAGGAAUAAAGAAAGUAAAAUCUGUCUAAUAAAGAAAAGUGUAUUCAAAGUUAAUGGGCCCAGAAUCUCUGUUACAGCACUUCUAUACUAAAAGCUUCCAUUCAGCAUGUUAAUGCAACAUCAGCUGUAUUAUAGUGAGUAGUUCAGAUCACCUGGGCAUAAAGGAGAGUCAAGUUCAAAUAAUGGGUCCACCCCUAAACAACCCAUUAACUAUCUGACUCACAUCCUGAUCUCCAGAUGGAAAUAAUAGUACAGAAGCCCUUGGCAGGAAAAUAAGGAGAAUUAAUGAGGCAAUCGUUGUAAAUGCUUUGCUCACUUAGAUUGUUAUUACAAAUAUAUGCCAUUAUUUGGAGCACUUCACAGCCAGGUUUAAUGGAAUUCAAUUAGAAAGGUAGUCGUUUUGUGAUCCUACAUUUACUUUCAUUCAACCACACAAAGACUCUGUCCAAGGAAGGUCCUUCAAACAUAUGCACUGACCAAUUAGCACGUCACUCAAAGUGGGAAUCCAAGAAAGAAGAAGCCUCUGUCUUGCAUGGUCAGCGCUACCAUUAGAGACAUAAUGGGUGAACUGCCUUGAGUCUAAUGGUCCUUCUCCCCCUUUAAGAUCAAACCAGUAUAGUGGUCCUGCAUCUCCAAACUAGCUUGAUGCUCUUGGGUAUGGUGGAUAUGAUAUUCUGUGCUGAUGUAAGACUCAUUUAUCCAGUCAUUUUCUUCAUUUGUAAGAUGUUAGAUACACCCUAAUUUCAGUACCAUCACUACCAACAAAAACAUAUAAGGCAUGCCUGUGAUUCUAAGACACACCCCAUUUUUAGAGAUGUCCAGCUCUGUCACUCCUUUCCACCUGUCACUAAGGAAGCUGUUCAGGUCCUGAACCGGUGUCUGGCCACUGUGUCGGACUGGAUGAGGGCGAACAAAUUGAAACUCAAUCCAGACAAGACAGAGGUCCUCCUGGUCAGUCAUAGGGCUGAACAGGGUAUAGGGUUACAGCCUGUGUUGGACGGGGUCGCACUCCCCCUGAAGACACAGGUUUGCAGUCUGGGGGUUCUCCUGGACUCAUCGCUGAGCCUGGAGCCCCAGGUUUCAGCGGUGGCCAGGGGAACUUUCGCACAACUAAGACUUGUGCACCAACUGCGCCCGUACCUUGGGAAGACUGACUUGGCCAUGGUGGUCCACACUCUGGUUACAUCCCGUUUGGAUUACUGCAACACGCUCUAUGUGGGGCUGCCUUUGAAGAUGGCCCAGAAGCUCCAAUUAGUACAACGGGCAGCAGCCAGAUUAAUAACUGGGGCGGCAUACAGGGAGUGUACUACUCCACUGUUAAGCCAGCUCCACUGGCUGCCGAUAUGCUACUGAGCCCAAUUCAAAGUGCUGGUCUUGGCCUACAAAGCCCUAAACGGUUCUGGUCCAACUUACCUGUCUGAACGUAUUUCCUCCUACGAGCCUGUGAGAACUUUAAGAUCAUCUGGAGAGGCCCUGCUCUUGGUCCCACCUGCCUCACAAGUGCGGGUGGUGGGGACGAGAGACAGGGCCUUCUCAGUGGUGGCUCCUCGGCUGUGGAACUCCCUCCCCAGUGAUAUCCAGCAGGCUCCAUCCAUUCUGAGUUUUAGGAAAAAAGUAAAGACUUGGCUUUGUGAGCAGGCAUUUGAUGAGUGAAUUCUGUUGGCUUGACUCGGUCCGGAUUAAGGUUUAUGUAUAAGGUCUUGUGGACAAAUGGCUCAAGUAUUUUAUAAUGUAUGGUUCUAAAUCUAUUUCUUGUAUUUUGUUAAUUACCUAAUUGUUUUAAUUGCUUAUGUUUUAUCUUUUUGUAUUGUAUAUUGGCAUUGAAUUUUGCCAGAUUGUGAGCCGCCCUGAGUCCCCUUGGGUGAGAAGGGCGGGAUAGAAAUGAAUGAAAUAAAUAAAUAAUAAAUUCUGGCAAACAAGCUAGUCAUAUGUGGGCUAGGCAAAACUAUGAUCAGGUGGAUCUGUAAUUGGUUAAGCGAAUGAGUCCAAAGGGUGCUCACCAAUGCAUCUUCUUCAUCCUGGAAAGAAGUCAGGAGUGGAGUAUUGCAGAGUUCUUUCCUGGGCCUGGUUCUGUUCAAUAUCUUCAUUAAUGACUUAGACAAAAGGUUAGAAAGCAUGAUCAUAAUGUUUGCAGAUGACACCAAAUUGGGAGGGAUAGCUAAUACUCCAGAAGACAUGAGCAGAAUUCAAAAUGAUCUUAACAGAUUAGAGAGAUGGGCCAAAACUAACAAAAUGAAGUUCAACAGGGACAAAUGCAAGAUACUCCACUUAGGCAGAAAAAUGAAAUGCAAAGAUACAGAAGGAGGAGGCAACUAAAAUGAUUAAGAGUCUGAAGAACCAGCCCUAUGAGGAGCGGCUUAAAGAGUUGGGCACAUUUAGCCUGCAGAAGAGAAGGCUGAGAGGAGACAUGAUAUCCAUGCAUAAAUAUGUGAGGGGAAGUCAUAGGGAGGAGGGAGCAAGCUUGUUUUCUGCUGCCCUUGAGACUAGGACGCUGAACAAUGACUUUAAACUACAGGAAAGGAGAUUUCACUUGAACAUUAGGAAGAACAAAUAAUGUAUAAAUGCACAUUUACAUGGAACAAUAAAAAGAAAAAUCAAGCAUCACUCUCUUCAUACUGCACCCAUUCCAGCCUCCCUCCCUCUUUUUCUCUCUCUCCCUCUCUUUUUUCAUGAAGUCAAACAUACUAGGAAUAAAAACCACACAAAAUCAACUAACCCAAAAUUCCUCAAAGCAGAUAAGAGCAAAGCGGACAGCAAUCUCCCAAAGCAGACAAGAGCACGAGGCAUGGAGAUACAAGGCACGGAGGCUGCCCCCUUGAAACCCCAAAGCCCUGUACUCUUACACUAGUGCUCCCUCUGACACUAGCUCUAAACUCAAAAUGCUGCUUUUAUGUCAAACCUGGGCUGAGAGACAGCUCUUAACUCAAGGGGCCGGGCUGUGGCGCAGGCUGGUAAGCAGCUGCUGCAAUAAAUCACUCUGACCAUGAGGUCAUGAGUUCGAGGCCAGCCUGUGGCGGGGUGAGCACCCGUCAAUUAAAAUAAAAUAUAGCCCCUGCUCGUUGCUGACCUAGCAACCCGAAAGAUAGUUGCAUCUAUCAAGUAGGAAAUAAGGUACCACUUAUAAAAAAAAGUGGGGAGGCAAGUUAAACUAAUUAACAACGUUGGAAUGAGGAAGUGAGGAAGUGCCGUUAGAGUGGAUGAUGAAGCAGCUGCUCCCCCCUGUGGCCAGAAUCAAACAUCCCCUCAGGAGAAGGUUAAAUUGCCUCUGCAUCCGUCCGUCUGUUUGUCUGUCUGUCUGUCUCUGUCUCAGUUCAAUGUGUUUAUGGGCAUUGAAUGUUUGCCCUAUAUGUAUAUAAUGUGAUCCGCCCUGAGUCCCCUUCGGGGUGAGAAGGGCAGAAUAUAAAUACUGUAAAUAAAUAAAUAAAUGUUCUUAAGUUGGGACACUCUUUAGUAGUGAUUCCACUGUAAUAAAAACAUUAAUCCAGGUGUCACUGCUGUUGUCUCUCUGAGAGAUCAUCCACUAGUAUCAACUUCCACUAUUGUCUGCUGUCCAGAAGUUACUUGGCACAUUUAGUACGGCUCCCCCGCAAAAGCCUGUCUGUCAUGGGAGUUCCUGUUAGAAGCAGUGCUAUUAUCAUCAUAGCCUCUUCCCUUAUAAAAGCAUAGAAUCCUACCACUGUGGAAAUGUGUAGGAGUCUUGUACCUGCUGGGCUGCCUGGCUGCCUGGAUUCCUUCCUUCCUUCCUUCCUUCCUUCCUUCCUUCCUUCCUUCCUUCCUUCCUUCCUUCCUUCCAUCCAUCCAUCCAUCCAUCCAUCCAAGGCAUACCAUGCAUUUAGAGAAUCAAUUGCUGUUUUCUUUUAUUGAAUUUUGUGUUCCCAUCCAUUUUUCCUUUUAAACACAUAAUAUUUGUAAGUGCUUUCACCAUGUUUUCUAUUAAUCUUCCAAUAAGCUGAUUCCUUUUUUUGUUUUGUUUUGUUUUGUGCAAUACUACUGGGAAAUUGACGGAGCACAUCUUCUUUAGAAACAAAAGAAAUCUAGGAACAAAACAGGCAGUAGAAGUGCACCCAAACAAAUCAUCUGCUCAUAUGGAAAGCAUGUCCUUGUUAUCCACCCCCCCCCCCCCCCCCACAUGGUUAGGCAAUGCAUGGUAUGUAAGCUUCAGGAGGUCAUUAAAGCACGAAUAAGCAUAGUCCUGGAGGACAGGUCUAUUAUGACAAUUAAACAGGACUAGUAUAUCUGUGAGUACAAUAUACCCACACAAAUGAUAAGAAAUAGUGGUUGCCUUCAUACCCUGUUGUCUUUUCCAUGGCUUCUGGCUGAAAGCAGGAUGCUUGAAUGAAGAGAAAAGAGGUAAGCUCAAGCAUUCAGGCAUCUUUCAUUAUCAGAGCUGUAGUUUCCAUUCAAUAUGCAGCAUAUUUUAUGCUUCUGUCUCUUUUUCUCUCUCCCCCCCCCCCCCCCCCGCAAUAUAUAUGUUACAUGAUACCGUAUUUUAUGUUUUCCCUCUAUCUUGCCCUCUAUUCAGCUGAAGUAUAUCUUCAUAUAUAGUUUAUUCUAUUCCACGUGAAAGAAAACUCCAAACAUUUCAUCUUGCCUGAAUAGAUUUUUUGUCACACUAAAAAUGUCUUUUUAAAAGCAACAACUGCAAAAAGGUCCACUCAAAUUUAAAUUUUUCUCUUUCCUCCUCAUUUGUCUGUUUAACAACACAUUAUUUUAGGCAUUUUUGUGUAUAAUGACUUUAUUCACAUGUUUUCUUGCUUUUAUUCUGAAAACUUUUCCAGAAUUGGAAAGUCUUAGAAUCAUAGAAUCAUAGAAUCAUGGAGCUGGAAGUGACCUCAUGGGCCACCCAGUCCAACCACCUGCCAAGAAGCAGGAGAAUCACAUUCAAAGCACAGAUGGCCAUCCAGCCUCAGCUUAAAAGCCUCCAAAGAAGGAGCCUCCACCACACUCCAGGGCAGAGAGUUCCACUGCCGAACAGCUCGCACAGUGAAGAAGGUGUGAUUGUAAGGGUAGGAUGAGGAAUCUUGGAACUAAUUGCCUCGGAAAGCACUUAAGCUCAGGGGACCCACUCUACCUCAUACAUUCUGAAGAAUCGGCACCUUGGAGUUGUCAGUAUCUUUCAAUAAGGACAAUGCUAUCUGCCUGCUUUGAUCACAAUCCUGGAAUAAGUGGAACUACUAAUGUAAAAGACAAUUAUACUAGCAAUGUCAACAUGAUUGGGCCCAUAUGUUUUAUACUGGUCCAUAUGAAUUUUGAAAAGAUUUAUCUCAAGCUAUACUCUGAUUUAGAGAAAGAACAUAAAAAUUACUGCAAAAUUAUCCUAGCCUUCAAAGCUACAUAUUUAUUCCACAGUUUCCACUGUUACCACCACUCCGUAGCCAACUGUAGAACAUCUGCUAGCUGUCUUCUCAAGCAAAGACUGUCAAGAGAAAGUUUGGUUUUGUCUACUCUUAAUUUUCAAAUGGGUAAACUUUCCUUGAUCUCAAAGACUCUUUGUUUUUUUAAUUUUUUAUUUUAUCAUAAUUCAAUACAUUUGUUAUACAUUGUUUGUUUAAUAGCAGACAAAUAAUAUUCAAUACAAUCUACCAUUCAUUAACUUUUGGCAUCUACUGUUAUUUUUAUGCUUAUACAUAUUUUCUAUCCUUCACCACUGUGUGCCCCUCCCCAUGAGCCACUAUUUUUAUAUAUCAUCAUCUCUUUGUAUUAUUGAAGCCAGAUCAAAUAAUAUUUGGGUACUUGUUACUUAUAAGCCCAUUAAAAAUAAUUAAGAGAUCAACAUGACUAUUUAUACUUCACCUAUCCACCAAAAAUGACAUCCAGGGUGGCUUACAAACUGAAGUAACAACAAAUAGUUACAAUUUACAAAAGAUCAGCAUAAAAAUAGAAUUUAGCUAUUACCAACACAAAGUGAAACAUACAAUAAAAACAGGUUUAAAGGGUACAAUUAAAACAAUAGAGCAGUGAUUCUUUCAACCUCUGGGUCCCCAGAUGUUUUGACCUUCAGCUCCCAGAAAUCCUAACAGCUAGUAAAAUGGCUGGGAUUUCUGAGAGUUGUAGUCCAAAACACCUGGGGACCCACAGGUUGAGAACCACUGCAGUAGAGCAUUCUCUUAGACCAGUGGUUCUCAAACUGGGAUCCCUAGAUGUUUUUGGCCUACAACUCCCAGAAAUUCCAGCCAGUUUACCAGCCAGGAUUUCUGGGAAUUGAAGGCCAAAAAACAUCUGGGAACCCCAAGCUGAGAACCACUGUCUUAGACCCCUUCCACACAACUAUAUACAAUCUACAUUGAACUGGAUUGUAUGACAGUGUAGGCCCAAAUAAUCCAGUUCAAAGCAGAUAUUGUGGAUUAUCUGACUUGAUAUUCUGGAUUAUAUGGCUGUGUGAAAGGCCCUAAGAUAUCCUUUCUUUUAAAGAUUUCAGUUUUCGAAAGCCUGUUGUAACUAUCUAUCUGUCUAUCUAUCUAUCUAUCUAUCUAUCUAUCUAUCUAUCUAUCAUCUAUUUAUCAUUGUUGAUGGAAAGACAAACAGGAUGGAGUCAUUCUAGCUUGCCUCUCUAGGCAGAGAGCUCCAGACCUCUUUGAUAGAUAGACAGAUAUUAUACUUUGAAAUAUGCUUCAUUUGUUCCCAGGUCUACCUUUUCCAUGAGAAAGCUUGUAAAAUGUACUUGUCUUUAACAAAAUUAAAAACAGUAGUCAAAAUUGUACUCUCUUUCUCUAACCCAUUCUGAUUCUACCCUCCUAUUUUACUGAACCACUACUAGCAUCGGAUGUUACUGAUCUUUAUUCAGCUGCAGAAAAGAGAGGAAAGGGGAGAUUUCCUUAAGACUAUCUCUGUUGUGUGAGGAUCCAAAACCAACACAGCCAUCAAAAUUUGUAGAGAAAGAAGUUGAAGAAACUCAAAUUGGCAGCUGGGCAUGCGGGCCCAAGGGAAUCUAAAAUGAAGAAGUUGAAAGCAUAAAGAGACCUAGAGAUGAAGCAACUGAAACAGCAGCAGGCCAGGUGAAACCAGCUGUGCAAAGUGCAGAGAUCAAUGAAUUGCUGGUGAAAUGUCAUUCUGAAUAUGCAUUACAUUGAUUUAAUCCACAACUAAGAAUUAAAGAUUCUUUUUAUGAAAUGUCAGUCUAAAUUGCAGUAGUGGCUUGAAAAUGAAACAUAAUCAUGUUGGAGAGAUCAAAUGACUGUAUUCUAAUUAUGUGUAUCUAAAGGGUCUUCUUUUCCAAUGUGAACAUACAUAUCAAUUGCAAUUUUGCUCAGAUAUCCUUUUCAAACACUCUUUAGAAGUUGGUCUUUCACUUCUUUGGAGCAUCAAAAAUGGUGUUCAAUGCCCCCAUAUCUGUUUUGAACCAAUGUUAUUAUCCUUUAAGGCAUUGGAUGAAGUUUUCCAUCUUGUCUUGUGCUUUUACUGCAUGGAUAGGCAGAAGUGGCCCCUCAGAAGCAGCCCUACCCAAUGUAAUCAAUGGUGCAGGAUUAAGGGGGUUGCAUUUCACAGUAAUCUGGAUAACUCAGUUGAGCAUAUUUUUAAAUGAUAAAAUAGAAUAUUGUACCUGUCCCACAAGUGCAAUUUCCAUGGAGUUGAGGUGAAAUCAAUUAAAAUCAUUUUAUAAAUCUGACCCAACAGCCAGAAGUGAAGCCACCACAGCACUCAAUUUGCAGGACAGAUCCAGCAAGAGAAUGAUACAGGAUUACAUCCAAUGUCACUAAGACCCCUCCACACAGCUGUAUAAAAUCCAUAUUGAACUGUAUUAUCUGUCGUCUGGACUCAGAUAAUCCAGUUCAAAGCAUAUAUUGUGGAUUAUCUGUCUUGAUAUACUUGGCUGUAUGGCUGUGUGAAAGGGCCUUAAGAGGGUAAAGCAGAACCUACAGGGUUAUAUCAAAGUUUAGGUAAGUUUCCUUUUUGUCUUUGGAAAAUAACAGCUGACAUUCUGGUAGUAAGUUAUUACGUUGUAAGUCUGCCAUAUACCAUUGUAACUCAUUUGGGGAAGCAUUGUGUAGGUCACAAUUGUGUUUCAAAUGUGUAAUAAUCAAAAGUCCCCUCAACUCAUUUUAUAAACUAUAUAGUCCCUUCACACAACAAUUUCUGAAUUGUUGGACAGAGAGGUGUCAAUGGUGAUGUGUCUGGGCCUGGGUGUUGUCCUUUAUGUGCAGAACUGAGCAGUGACAUAGUGCAAAGCCAUCAUUUGCAAGAAUUACAAAGGGACCCCCAGAAGUCCCUGCCAAUGCUUGUUGCAGUGUGUUCAGCUGUUGGAAAAUAGCUGGACAUAUUUCUGUGAGUGCCUUAAUUCUCCAACAAGCUAAAAGUGGCACUGUUUGAAGAGACUGCAUGGCUUAUAAAAUGUGUUAUUUUUAUGGGGGGUGAGUAUAGCAACAGGAGAUGUAGCUCUGGAGCUUCAUGUACAUAAUAAUAAUAAUAAUAAUAAUAAUAAUAAUAAUAAUAAUAAUAAUAAUAAUAAUAACAACAACAACAACAACAACUUUAUUCUUAUAACCCGCCUUCAUCUCCCCAAAGGGACUUGAGGUGGUUUACAUGGGGACCAAGCCCAGAGAAUCAAGUAACAGAUAUAAAAUUAAAAACACAACAAUAAUAUAAUUAAAACAGUUAAACAAUAGAAUAAAACAUCAUGAAUACAUCAGCGAGAAUCAAAAACUAAGAAGUGGGAUUAUUAAAAUUGCAAAGAAAGAGCAGGGCCUUUUCAAGAUGCAGGACAAUAGAGUCAAGAGUGGGGAUAAAGUGCUGGAAUCAGAGCAGUAAACAAUUAGGACUGAGCAGUGAUAAAUUAUGAAACUGACCUAUCAUUCAAAAGCACAUUUAAACAUCAUGUCUUCAAGUCUUUGUGGAAUGUAGACAGGGUGGGGGCUAAUCUGAUCUUCCUGGGGAGAGAGUUCCAAAGCUGGGGGGCCACAACCAAGAAGGCCCUCUUCCUUGUCCCCACCAACUGUGUUUGUGAUGGAGGCGGGAGUGAGAGAUGGACCUUCCUGGCAGAUCUAAGAGCCCACACUGGUUUGUAGGGAGAGAUGCAGUUGUGAAGAUAAGCAGGACCCAAACCGUUAAAGGCUUUGGAGGUCAUAACCUGCACUUUGAAUUGGGACCAGAAAAUUAUUGGCAGCCAAUAGAGCUGCUUCAAGAGUGGUUUCGUGCACUUCCUGUAGCUAGCUCCUGUUAACAAUCUUUGCACCAGUUGUAGUUUCUGGGUCAUCUUUAAAGGCAGCCCCACGUAGGGCUCAUUGCAGUAAUCCAGUCUAGAUGUAACCAAAGCGUGGACCACAGUGGCCAAGUCAGGCUUCUCUAGGUACGCUCACAGCUGGCGCAAAAGUUUUUAUGGCACAAAGGCUUUCCCAGCCACCACUGACUCCUGAGCAUCAAGCAUAAAUGCUGAGUCCAAGAGGACCACCAGACUACGGACCUGUGCCCUCAGGUGGAGUGUAACCCCAUUGAGCACAGGUAGCCACCCUAUACCUCAAUUGGCACCACGACUGACCAGGGGGACCUCUAUCUUGUCUGGAUUAAGCUUCAGCUUAUUUGCCCUCAUCCAGUUCACCACAGCAGUCAGGCACUGGCCCAGGACAUGAGAGGCUUCCUUGGAGUUAGGUGGAAAAGAGUAAUAGAGUUGGGUGUCAUCUUCAUAGAGAUGGCACAGAACUCCAAAACUCUGGAUAACCUCACCCAGUGGUUUGACGCAGAUGUUAAAAAGCAUAGGAGAAAGAAUGGAACUUUGUAGGAUCCCACAGGUCAAAGGCCAGGGGUCCAAGCAGGUAUCCCCCAGCUUCACCAAUUGAGUGCAGCCCUCCAGGAAGAAGUGGAGCCACUGUAGAGCCAUGUCCCAAAGCCCAUUUCGGAGAGCUGUCCCAGAACAAUACUAUGGUAAACAUUUAAAAAACUAUAACAGGGUCUAUUGACUAUGGUUGUAUUUGAAAGAAUAUUUUAAAAAUUUCGAAUGACCACAAAACACCUUUCUAAUAUGAAUCACUGAGAAAGAGAAUCAUGGAUUGAUGAGAAUCUUUGCAUUUUGGGACUUAUUUUGAGCAAAAUUCACAUGUAGACAUUUUGUGUAGAAAAACUACUUUAUGACCAGAAAAUAAUACAAUAUGCCCCCUUAUCCAUAGGAGAUAUGUUCCUGAAGUUACCAUGAAAACGGGAAACCAUGGAUGCCCUAUUGAAAUGAAAAACUUCCACCAGAAGCAUAUCAUAGAAUUUCUUGGAAAGACUAGAAAAUUCUUAGAGAUGACAUAUUGUGAAACUAUGUGUACUGGUCCUGUAAGGAAUGUUUUAUGUGCAGAAAAGGAUAGGUGAAUUACAUGUGCAAUAUAUUUCAAAAUUCAACAAUCUUAGAUAGCUGAUCCAUGUUCAAAUAUAUUAUUGUAGCAGGAAGAAAAUUGCUUAAAUUAUUAAUGGCACCCUGUGAGAAUGAAAUUAGAUUGAUUUCCUUGUUUUUGUUUUUAUUUUUAUUUUUUAAAAAAUGUGAAUAAAGAUAUACAGAUAAAACACUCUUAAGAACAUUAUUCUUUCAGCACAUAAGGUUUAUAUUGUAGUGACUUUGACCAGGGCUUUUAAAACUUUUUCCACUGUGGCGCCUUUCUGUCCAAGUUUUUUUAAUGACCCUAGAUAUAUAGGUAUAUAAGCUAGGUAUAAAAAUGAAACAUUCAUGAUAAUAAAUCAGCAUUUGCAAGACUUG